GUAAAUACAUCUUUCUUCCCUCACAAUUACAUAUGAAUCUUUCUUGAAGCUACACCUUGAUGAAAGAGUAUUAUUUUACCAGACUGAAAAGGCUCAUUCUUCUGUCUAGGGCAUACAAAUAACUCCAGUUGCCUUGUUAAUCUUGAGGAAAUAGUCUUUUUGGAUGAAAAUCAAGGAAAGAAAGACUUUAUACAGUUUGAUGUGCUGAAAGACUGUGAAAA
This 221-nucleotide small nuclear RNA is filed under the name Pteropus alecto (black flying fox). Its description in RNAcentral is "7SK RNA". It matches the Rfam family "7SK RNA", at positions 79 to 331 of the family's 331-position model. Rfam says of the family: 7SK was discovered as an abundant small nuclear RNA in the mid-70s but a possible function has only recently been suggested. Two independent studies have found that 7SK RNA binds the CDK9/cyclin T complex (known as elongation factor P-TEFb). The record is from Rfam by way of RNAcentral. Lineage: Eukaryota; Metazoa; Chordata; Mammalia; Chiroptera; Pteropodidae.